GAAAAAUGGAGGAGAGAGGAAGGACAAUAGAUGUGAUGUGAUGGGCUAAGGUGCUGAGCCUGAUAUCCUUACCCAGUGGAUAUAAUCUGUUUAGGAAGGAAUCUGUAUUUUACCUGUACUUACUGGUAAAAUACACUUGCUGGUAGAUCCCACUUCAACUGAUAAUUAGACCAUGUCCUUGGCCUUGUACUUUUCUCCCUGUAUGACAAAGUGUGCAGAUGUCUUUUGGCCUCUUCUCUCUUCUUCCAAGCCAACAAAACAGGCCAAUUCUAGCCUGAAUGCUUUCCUUGAAAAUGGAUCCUGAGAGUGGAGACAGCAUCAUUUUUUCUCUUCUUUGUGAGGAGAAUCUGGGACCAAAUGUUUGCUGAGGCCAUGCCAAAAAUGAAGAGAAGGGAAAAAAAUAAUGAAUUCCUGAAGAGCAAGGUAACCUUCCAAGUCACAUGGUGCCAUCAGCAGGUUGUAUGCCCCUUGAGUUCCCCAUCCAGAGGGGAAUACCAUCUUCAUCUCUCUCCCUUCCAGCUCCAUCACAAAGCAAAUUGAAGACACUGAAAUAUAUUUUUGAAACAAUGAUGUUAAAUCAAGCUUUCAAUCCAAAACAAUGAUGUUUUUGCUCUGUGUUUAUAGCAUAUUUGAACAGGUUCAUAACCAUGGACAACUCUCUGGAAAUUCUGCUAUUAGCAGGGUUUAAGUGUUUACCUAAGUAAGGCAGAAUGUUUUGAGAGGAAACAAUUAAAAGGAAAC
This 741-nucleotide long non-coding RNA is filed under the name Anser brachyrhynchus (Pink-footed goose). RNAcentral's name for it is "lncRNA (ENSABRG00000005552.1)". The record is from RNAcentral. Lineage: Eukaryota; Metazoa; Chordata; Aves; Anseriformes; Anatidae.